CAUUGGACUCCAGCCUGAGUAACAGAGUGAGACUCCGUCUCAAAAAAAAAAAAAAAAUGUAUUGUUGGAUCAUAGAUAUGCAUCAUUUACAGGUUUUUCAUUGAUGGCUCCUCUGUAACCCACCAAAUCUGAACCAGUACACACACCCACCAGCAGUGGUUACAGGUGUCUACUUUCUCAUGUCUUCAUUCUUAUCAGAUGAUAUCUUUCCACAGUUUAAAAACUUGCCUUUGACAAAAGAUAAGCAGAAAAGCAGAAGAAAGAGAAGAAAGCUAGCCUUCUGGGUGUUAAAUAAAUUCGGAUGUAUUCCUACAGUGCAUCUGUGUCAGGUAUGUUUGACCACCCAUGAAAGGUUUGUGCUUCCCUUCCAUAGUGUCCAGUAGUUCCAGACAAGCAGCUGUCCAGCUGGGACAGUUUCCUGGUGCUGGUCUACAGGUGGAAGUCUUCAAGUUCUGGCCAAAGUAAUGUGUGCAAAAGUGUUAGAUGUCACCUCUAGACUUGGCUUACUGUAAAACAAACCUUUCACCCUUCUCCACACUCUCCUUCCCCAUCUACUGGCUGGAUAUUGUCACCCAGAGUGACUUUAGGAGCCACCAAGUAUGUGGAAGUCAUAUGUUGAAGGUGGCAGGGCCGUGGUCAUCCUGGAUUCCUGAAUAAGUGCUGAGAGCAAAAUAUCUCCUUACCCUCCUCACUCCCACUUGAUCCCCAGUUGGAUUGAGAAGGCAGUCAAGGAAGUGCUUUAUCAAAAUGGAAGACACAGAAUCCAGGAACCAACAGCCCCAGCAAAGGAAACAGGAAGAUUUCAGGGAGCAGGGAGAGCCACAGGAGGCUGGCCAAGAGUGUGCAUCGCUGUCCCGAGGAGGGCAGUGCGGAGUGCCCUGGUUGGAGGGUGUCUCCGAAGGACCCACCAGAGCACCUCCAGGAAAAGGUCAGUAUUUGUGCAUCUGCUGCAACAGAAGGCACGUAUCUGCCUGAGGGGAACUGGAAACGGAACCAGUGAGCGAAACAGUCUCGCCCUCCUUCUGUGCCCAAGCCUGGAGGAUGUAGGAGCGGGGAUCAGAGGAGAGGAUGUGGAGCAAAGAAGGAAAACAGCUUGUCAAUCAUGAAGACUGUCAAUCAGUGAAGUCUCCAUAAAAGGCCCAAGAGGAGAGGGUCCGGGGAGCUUCCAGCUAGCUAAGCGCGUGGAGGUUCCUGAAGGGCUGUGCCCAGGGAGGGCGUGGAAGCUCCACACCCCUUCCCCCGUGCCGUGUCUAUGCAUCUGUUCAUCUGUACCCUUUGUAACAUCCUUUAUAAUAAACCGGUAACUGAAAGUAAGUGUUUCCCCGAGUUCGGUGAGCUGCUCCAGCAAAUUAAUUGAGCCUAGAGGGGGCUUGUUGGGACCUUAACUUUAAGCUGAUCAAUCAGAAGUCCUGGAGGCCGGAACUGGUGUCUGAAGGCGGGGUGGCGCUUUUGGGGACUGAGCCCUCAGCCUGUGGGAUCUGAUACUCUCACCAGGAAGGCAGAGUCGGUAUUGAAUUGGAGGACACCUGGCUGAUUUCCACGGCAACGUUGCUCCCUUGCUGGCUGGCGGGGAGAAAUCCCCACACAUACUUUGGGGUCACAGAAGUCUUCUUUGUUGAUGAUUGUUAUGGCGGUGGUGUGAGAACAGAGGAAAAAGAGGGCUUGCGUUUUUACAAACCUUAUUGCAAAAGGUAGAAGAAAAAGUGUUGAAACUAAAAACCAUAAAGUGACUGUUCUGUUUUCCAAUUAGUUAGCUUUGAGGUGCAGCUGGCUUCUUCUUGGUUUGAAAUCAUGGUGACGCUGGUGGUGGACACAGAGAAGAGCCCCACAGGCGGAAUCCUGGGCCUUCCAGAAGAGCAGUCCAGAAGCAACCUUGUCCCACCAAGCUUGGGUCUGACCAUUCGCACCUGUUGGUUUUGAAUUCAACUGCUCCAUGGAGGUGUUUGCCCAAACCUUGGCUUCAAGCUAAUUAAUGUUGUGUCUUCAAACACUUCAAGGUGCAGUUCUAGUGUUGCGGUUCUUAAUUUCAGUGCAAUAUAAACUGUCUUUGAAUGAUUUGGAUGACAAGGAAUUUAUUAUGUUAGGAAGCUCACAGACCUCCUUGCCUGUGCUGUAGAACUGGACUUGGAUGCUAUGGCUAGGACCAAUGUCUUAAAUUACAGUGCAGAACUGGUCUUGUGAAGGUAUCAUUGUCACCACCCCUGGGCCCAGCCCCCUACUGCUUGUACUUCCAAGCCCACUGGUGCUGGCUGCUGCCUCCAAACCUGGUGUAGCCCCCACCAUGGCUACCUCCCUCUUCAGAAGGGAUUUUGCCUAAGUCCUGCUUUUUUGUGUCACUAGCAGUUGAAUCAGGGCCAAUGGGGAAGACUCGUUGAUCACGUACCACAGCCGAGCCACAAGGGAGGCUGGGGUUCAGCUUUCGGCUUCUAUAAUGGGGAGUGAUCAUUUUCCACCACCAAGAUUUAUAAGGUGAGAAAUUCCCCAAACGUGGAAAGCUGUCAGUCAAAAAAAAAUCAGAUAGUCACCACAACUAGCCUGUAGUUCACUCCCAUCCUCCCAUGGCUGUCAAGGAGGGUUUUCCUGACCACGCUGUUUAAGCUAGGCUGACUCUACUCCCAGUUUCUCUCCAUGUUAGCACUUAUCACAAUUUGUGAUGGUUUUAUUUCUUAGGUCUCUUGCUUGCCUGCUGGACUGUAAACUCCCUGAGGCCAGGGAUUGUGCCAAUCCUGUUCACUGUUGUAUUUUCAGCACUAACAACAGCAUUUCAAACAAUAUGGGCAUUCAUCUAUUCAAUAAAUAAGUGGUGCACAAUGGACACAAUUUCCUGCCCUCCCAGAGCAUCUGAAUGAAUGAACAAAUGAACAAAGGAUGCAUUACUCUUAGCUUGCUAAUGUAAACUCAGAUCGCUGGCAGCCAGUGACUUGACAAUAUAUAUUUAUGAAUAAAUAACAUUUUCCACCCUUGAUUAUCACUGAGGUAAAGGAGAGUGGCUCUGAGAAGAACUUAUAAAAUUUAUCAGAAGAGUUAAAAAGAUAUAUACAGGGUUGAAAGAACCCAGAAAUGAAUUCACAUUUGGUUGGUAACUAUAAGAUAAGCUCCAAUCUUUGACUUUCCAGAAAACAAUGCAAGGGGGGAAGCUGAAGACUCCCCCUGAGACUUUAGCCUACCACUAUGAAAAUGUGCUGAGCCUGCUCUAUGGACGCGGCCAGAGCAGGAUUCCAGAGAAGUCUCCCAAGAUAUUCUGUAAGUUAAUUAGAUUCUCUUUCAAUGUUGAACUGCUGGAAACUGUUCAAUAGCAACUGCUGUGCUAAGACAAUUAUUCUGAG
Molecule: long non-coding RNA, 3326 nt
Organism: Cercocebus atys (sooty mangabey)
Lineage: Eukaryota; Metazoa; Chordata; Mammalia; Primates; Cercopithecidae
Exons: 3
Source: RefSeq, a predicted model, not a curated record